This 485-nucleotide ribosomal RNA is filed under the name uncultured bacterium. RNAcentral describes it as "partial 16S ribosomal RNA". It matches the Rfam family "Bacterial small subunit ribosomal RNA", at positions 28 to 507 of the family's 1533-position model. The record is from RNAcentral.
AUUGAACGCUGGCGGCAUGCCUUACACAUGCAAGUCGAACGGCAGCGGGCCCUUCGGGGUGCCGGCGAGUGGCGAACGGGUGAGUAAUGCAUCGGAACGUACCCGGGAGAGGGGGAUAACCGGCCGAAAGGCUGGCUAAUACCGCAUGAACUCGGAAGAGCAAAGCGGGGGACCUUCGGGCCUCGCGCUCUCGGAGCGGCCGAUGUCCGAUUAGGCUAGUUGGUGGGGUAAAGGCCCACCAAGGCGACGAGCGGUAGCGGGUCUGAGAGGACGAUCCGCCACACUGGGACUGAGACACGGCCCAGACUCCUACGGGAGGCAGCAGUGGGGAAUCUUGGACAAUGGGCGCAAGCCUGAUCCAGCAAUGCCGCGUGGGUGAAGAAGGCCUUCGGGUUGUAAAGCCCUUUCGGCGGGGAAGAAAUAGGUCAGGCGAAUAGUCUGGCCGGAUGACGGUACCCGCAGAAGAAGCACCGGCUAACUACGUG